UUUAACGGAACGAGAUUUGUGACGAAGAUGAGGAUUGCAUACGAAAGCCCACGCCCUUGUUUCCAUGGAUUCAAAGCCUAUCGCAAAAGGUAAUCUUCCAAGAUCCCCUCGAUUAUUAUCUGGGUUCUCUUUUAGGGUUAGGGUUAUUGGAUUUCUGGUGAUGUCCUCCCCUUCAACUUCUCAGAUUUCUUCAUGGAUUUGAUUGCUUUGAUACCCUAUUUUCCUCCUGUUUUCGGAGGAUUUCGGGAGAUUCUAGAGUUAAGGGUUACGAAUCAAUUUUCAUUUGGAAGUCUUUAAUGUCUUUUCCUCUUAAAGGGUUUCCGAUGGGGCUCUUUCUCUACGGGAUGGACAUCGAAAGGAUUCUAUUGUGAAGGCUGAGUUGCCUCAUUUGAUGGUUCUAGGGUUUUUGUUUUCUGAGCCAGCGGUUCUGAAUCUUCAGCCGUUGUUUCAUAUUUCAAUGCUUAUGUUUGGGGAUUUUGUCAGUUGAUUGAUGAAUCUAGGGUUUUCUUUGGUGGGUUUUUGUGGGAUUGAUUUACGAAGAUCUUUAUGAGGUGCUUCUAUUGACGUUGGUGGUAUUGCAAAAAUUCCACCCCCACCAGCAAGAAAAACCCUAAAGGGGAUAAGGGAAAAUGGGGGAAGCUCUUCUCACUACGCUAUCCAUGGAGAACCAUCACCCAUCAACCCUCUUAUCCAUGGAUUCAAGCGCCAACUCGCAUGAUGAAUUGGAAAGAGAGAUUAAUAGGCAGCUAAUCCUUUCCCGACCGCCCGAUAUUAAUCUGCCACUGUCCGCAGAACGUAGCCCGCCGCCCCAGCCAUGGAACCCUGACCCUUGUGAUAUCCUAGAUGUUGGGCUUGGGUCUCAGAUCUAUGAGACAGAGACUCUCCUCAGCCUCCCCAAGAUGGGUAGGAAAUGUGCCAAGCGGGUAGACAGCAUCUGGGGUGCCUGGUUUUUCUUUAGCUUCUACUUCAAGCCAGUUUUGAAUGAGAAGUCCAAGGUUAAGAUCACACGGGACAGUAAUGGUGUUUCUGGGUUUGAUAAAUCCGAUCUCCAUCUCGAUGUAUUCCUGGUUCAGCAUGAUAUGGAGAACAUGUACAUGUGGGUUUUUAGGGAAAGGCCUGAGAAUGCAUUGGGUAAGAUGCAGCUUAGGAGUUACAUGAAUGGGCACUCUCGCCAAGGAGAGCGCCCUUUCCCGUUCAGUGUGGAUAAGGGCUUUGUUCGAUCUCACAGAAUGCAGAGGAAGCAUUACAGGGGCCUUUCUAAUCCACAGUGUGUGCAUGGUAUUGAGGUUGUUUGGUCACCUAAUCUCGUGGGUCUUGAUGAGGAAGAGCGGAAAAGGUGGAUAGAACUCACAGGCCGGGACGUGAACUUUACCAUCCCUCCUGAAGCCAGUGACUUUGUUGCAUGGAGGAACCUUCCAAACACAGAGUUUGAGCUUGAGAGGCCCCCUCCUAUAAAAAGUAACCCACAACCCAAUUCAAAGAGAUUGCUCAAUGGGUCUGGCCUGAAUUUGUCCACCCAACCUUCAAACCAUGUCAAUGGUGAUGGGAUGGACCUUUCACCUGUUUCCAGCAAACGGAGAAAGGACUUCUUCCCACAUGGGAAUGACGAUGAUUGUUGUUUGCCUAUGAAUUCGCAUUCUGAUCGAGUUACGGAUAUGGAGGUUCACCCGAUCGAGCCACUGUGGUUGAAUGAAUUCAGUGGUGUAAUGAGGAACAUAUAUGGACCCGUCACUGCUGCAAAAACCAUUUAUGAGGAUGCUGAAGGGUACUUGAUCAUUGUUAGUGUGCCUUUUGCAGAUCUUCAGAGGGUGAAAGUUUCUUGGAGGAAUAGUCUAACUCAUGGGAUUGUAAAGAUAUCCUGUGUGAGUACAGCCCGCAUGCCAUUCAUCAAGAGGCAUGAUAGGACAUUCAAGCUCACAGAUCCAUCACCUGAGCACUGCCCUCCGGGGGAAUUCAUAAGAGAAAUCCCACUUGCAACUCGAAUUCCAGAAGAUGCCAAGCUAGAAGCAUACUAUGAUGAGACUGGGACAGUGCUGGAGAUUAUGGUUCCAAAACACCGGGUGGGUCCAGAAGAACAUGAGGUCCGUGUGUGCCUUCGUCCUCACCUUGGAACCAACGAGCUGCUGUUGACUUGAAAGAGGCAUUGAUAUGAAAAAUCUUUCUGACUGGGGUUACUCCUGAGCUGCAAACUUUAUUUCCCCAAAGUUAAAUGUUUUUUGCAGACAUUGGGUGUGUGGCUGACUGAAAGAUAUUCCCACUCUUGAAUCUCUACUUAGCCUGAUGGAGAACAUUGUAUAUGUAUUAAUUGGUAUUUUUCCUGUAGUUGUCUUAUUGUGGUUCUUGGAUCCAAUUGUGUUGUCCUUAAA
Molecule: RNA transcript, 2366 nt
Organism: Telopea speciosissima
Lineage: Eukaryota; Viridiplantae; Streptophyta; Magnoliopsida; Proteales; Proteaceae
Exons: 3
Source: RefSeq, a predicted model, not a curated record